GAUUACGGCCAUACCACACUGACAAUGCCCGAUCUCGUCUGAUCUCGGCAAGCUAAGCAGAGUUGGGCUGGGUCAGUACUUGGAUGGGUGACCGCCUGGGAAUACCCGGUGCUGUAAGCA
This 120-nucleotide ribosomal RNA is filed under the name Cottoperca gobio. The record is from RNAcentral. Lineage: Eukaryota; Metazoa; Chordata; Actinopteri; Perciformes; Bovichtidae.